UUAACUUACACCCACACCGCCAGGGAAUUACGAGCAAUGCUUAAAACCCAAAGGAUUUGACGGUGUCCCACCCCGCUAGAGGAGCCUGUUCUAUAAUCGAUGAUCCCCGCUUCACCUAACCAUUCCUCGCCCAUCAGUCUGUAUACCUCCGUCGAAAGCUUACCCUGUGAACGUCCGCAGUAGGCCCAAUGAUUCCCCAUCAGUACGUCAGGUCAAGGUGCAGCUUAAGGAAUGGCAAGCAAUGGGCUACAAUUUCUAAUCUAGAACAAACGAAAGACUAUGUGAAACCCUAGUCAUGAAGGUGGAUUUAGUAGUAAAAAGAAACUAGAGUGUUCUUUUUAACCCGGCUCUGGGACGCGUACACACCGCCCGUCACCCUCUUCGAUAGUACUAUAUCUGUUAAUAACCCCAUAUCACGUUUUAGAAGAGGCAAGUCGUAACAUGGUAAGUGUACUGGAAAGUGCACUUGGUACACUA
Molecule: ribosomal RNA, 477 nt
Filed under: Rana chaochiaoensis
Lineage: Eukaryota; Metazoa; Chordata; Amphibia; Anura; Ranidae
Description: partial 12S ribosomal RNA
Rfam family: Bacterial small subunit ribosomal RNA
Source: RNAcentral